This 384-nucleotide ribosomal RNA is filed under the name Enterobacter sp. RNAcentral describes it as "bacterial SSU rRNA". It matches the Rfam family "Bacterial small subunit ribosomal RNA", at positions 1010 to 1394 of the family's 1533-position model. The record is from RNAcentral. Lineage: Bacteria; Pseudomonadati; Pseudomonadota; Gammaproteobacteria; Enterobacterales; Enterobacteriaceae.
UUUGGUGCCUUCGGGAACUGUGAGACAGGUGCUGCAUGGCUGUCGUCAGCUCGUGUUGUGAAAUGUUGGGUUAAGUCCCGCAACGAGCGCAACCCUUAUCCUUUGUUGCCAGCGGUUAGGCCGGGAACUCAAAGGAGACUGCCAGUGAUAAACUGGAGGAAGGUGGGGAUGACGUCAAGUCAUCAUGGCCCUUACGACCAGGGCUACACACGUGCUACAAUGGCGCAUACAAAGAGAAGCGACCUCGCGAGAGCAAGCGGACCUCAUAAAGUGCGUCGUAGUCCGGAUUGGAGUCUGCAACUCGACUCCAUGAAGUCGGAAUCGCUAGUAAUCGUAGAUCAGAAUGCUACGGUGAAUACGUUCCCGGGCCUUGUACACACCGCC